This 536-nucleotide ribosomal RNA is filed under the name uncultured bacterium. RNAcentral describes it as "bacterial SSU rRNA". It matches the Rfam family "Bacterial small subunit ribosomal RNA", at positions 102 to 674 of the family's 1533-position model. The record is from RNAcentral.
ACGGGUGAGUAACGCGUGGGAACCUUCCCUGUGGUACGGAAUAACUUCCGGAAACGGAAGCUAAUACCGUAUAUCUCCUCCGGGAGAAAGAUUUAUCGCCAUAGGAUGGGCCCGCGUUGGAUUAGCUAGUUGGUAGGGUAAUGGCCUACCAAGGCAACGAUCCAUAGCUGGUCUGAGAGGAUGAUCAGCCACACUGGGACUGAGACACGGCCCAGACUCCUACGGGAGGCAGCAGUGGGGAAUAUUGGACAAUGGGCGCAAGCCUGAUCCAGCCAUGCCGCGUGAGUGAAGAAGGCCUUAGGGUUGUAAAGCUCUUUUGGCGGGGACGAUAAUGACGGUACCCGCAGAAUAAGCCCCGGCUAACUUCGUGCCAGCAGCCGCGGUAAUACGAGGGGGCUAGCGUUGUUCGGAAUCACUGGGCGUAAAGCGCACGCAGGCGGAUUGAUUAGUCAGGGGUGAAAUCCCGGGGCUCAACCUCGGAAUUGCCUUUGAUACUGUCAGUCUUGAGUUCGGGAGAGGUUGGCGGAAUUCCUAGU